This 225-nucleotide ribosomal RNA is filed under the name uncultured bacterium. RNAcentral describes it as "partial 16S ribosomal RNA". It matches the Rfam family "Bacterial small subunit ribosomal RNA", at positions 96 to 339 of the family's 1533-position model. The record is from RNAcentral.
UGGCGAACGGGUGAGGAACACGUGAGGAAUCUGCCUUCAACACUGGGAUAACUCCGGGAAACCGGGGCUAAUACCCGAUACGCUGUGGAGUGAAAGAAUUUCGCCGAGGGAUGAUCUUGCGUCUGAUUAGCUAGUUGGUGAGGUAAAAGCUCACCAAGGCGACGACGGGUAGCCGGCCUGAGAGGGCGACCGGCCACACUGGGACUGAGACACGGCCCAGACUCC